This 1836-nucleotide ribosomal RNA is filed under the name Staphylococcus aureus. RNAcentral describes it as "23S ribosomal RNA". It matches the Rfam family "Bacterial large subunit ribosomal RNA", at positions 1085 to 2925 of the family's 2925-position model. Lineage: Bacteria; Bacillati; Bacillota; Bacilli; Caryophanales; Staphylococcaceae. The record is from RNAcentral.
CCAGACAACUAGGAUGUUGGCUUAGAAGCAGCCAUCAUUUAAAGAGUGCGUAAUAGCUCACUAGUCGAGUGACACUGCGCCGAAAAUGUACCGGGGCUAAACAUGUUACCGAAGCUGUGGAUUGUCCUUUGGACAAUGGUAGGAGAGCGUUCUAAGGGCGUUGAAGCAUGAUCGUAAGGACAUGUGGAGCGCUUAGAAGUGAGAAUGCCGGUGUGAGUAGCGAAAGACGGGUGAGAAUCCCGUCCACCGAUUGACUAAGGUUUCCAGAGGAAGGCUCGUCCGCUCUGGGUUAGUCGGGUCCUAAGCUGAGGCCGACAGGCGUAGGCGAUGGAUAACAGGUUGAUAUUCCUGUACCACCUAUAAUCGUUUUAAUCGAUGGGGGGACGCAGUAGGAUAGGCGAAGCGUGCGAUUGGAUUGCACGUCUAAGCAGUAAGGCUGGGUAUUAGGCAAAUCCGGUACUCGUUAAGGCUGAGCUGUGAUGGGGAGAAGACAUUGUGUCUUCGAGUCGUUGAUUUCACACUGCCGAGAAAAGCCUCUAGAUAGAAAAUAGGUGCCCGUACCGCAAACCGACACAGGUAGUCAAGAUGAGAAUUCUAAGGUGAGCGAGCGAACUCUCGUUAAGGAACUCGGCAAAAUGACCCCGUAACUUCGGGAGAAGGGGUGCUCUUUAGGGUUAACGCCCAGAAGAGCCGCAGUGAAUAGGCCCAAGCGACUGUUUAUCAAAAACACAGGUCUCUGCUAAACCGUAAGGUGAUGUAUAGGGGCUGACGCCUGCCCGGUGCUGGAAGGUUAAGAGGAGUGGUUAGCUUCUGCGAAGCUACGAAUCGAAGCCCCAGUAAACGGCGGCCGUAACUAUAACGGUCCUAAGGUAGCGAAAUUCCUUGUCGGGUAAGUUCCGACCCGCACGAAAGGCGUAACGAUUUGGGCACUGUCUCAACGAGAGACUCGGUGAAAUCAUAGUACCUGUGAAGAUGCAGGUUACCCGCGACAGGACGGAAAGACCCCGUGGAGCUUUACUGUAGCCUGAUAUUGAAAUUCGGCACAGCUUGUACAGGAUAGGUAGGAGCCUUUGAAACGUGAGCGCUAGCUUACGUGGAGGCGCUGGUGGGAUACUACCCUAGCUGUGUUGGCUUUCUAACCCGCACCACUUAUCGUGGUGGGAGACAGUGUCAGGCGGGCAGUUUGACUGGGGCGGUCGCCUCCUAAAAGGUAACGGAGGCGCUCAAAGGUUCCCUCAGAAUGGUUGGAAAUCAUUCAUAGAGUGUAAAGGCAUAAGGGAGCUUGACUGCGAGACCUACAAGUCGAGCAGGGUCGAAAGACGGACUUAGUGAUCCGGUGGUUCCGCAUGGAAGGGCCAUCGCUCAACGGAUAAAAGCUACCCCGGGGAUAACAGGCUUAUCUCCCCCAAGAGUUCACAUCGACGGGGAGGUUUGGCACCUCGAUGUCGGCUCAUCGCAUCCUGGGGCUGUAGUCGGUCCCAAGGGUUGGGCUGUUCGCCCAUUAAAGCGGUACGCGAGCUGGGUUCAGAACGUCGUGAGACAGUUCGGUCCCUAUCCGUCGUGGGCGUAGGAAAUUUGAGAGGAGCUGUCCUUAGUACGAGAGGACCGGGAUGGACAUACCUCUGGUGUACCAGUUGUCGUGCCAACGGCAUAGCUGGGUAGCUAUGUGUGGACGGGAUAAGUGCUGAAAGCAUCUAAGCAUGAAGCCCCCCUCAAGAUGAGAUUUCCCAACUUCGGUUAUAAGAUCCCUCAAAGAUGAUGAGGUUAAUAGGUUCGAGGUGGAAGCAUGGUGACAUGUGGAGCUGACGAAUACUAAUCGAUCGAAGACUUAAUCAA